UACGGGGGGGGCAAGCGUUGUUCGGAAUUACUGGGCGUAAAGGGUUCGUAGGUGGCUUGUUAAGUCAGACGUGAAAUCCCUCGGCUCAACCGGGGAACUGCGUCUGAGACUGAUGAGCUCGAGUGCAGGAGAGGAACGCGGAAUUCCAGGUGUAGCGGUGAAAUGCGUAGAUAUCUGGAGGAACACCGGUGGCGAAGGCGGCGUUCUGGACUGCAACUGACACUGAGGAGCGAAAGCGUGGGGAGCGAACAGG
RNAcentral lists this ribosomal RNA (253 nucleotides) under uncultured bacterium. RNAcentral describes it as "partial 16S ribosomal RNA". It matches the Rfam family "Bacterial small subunit ribosomal RNA", at positions 524 to 776 of the family's 1533-position model. The record is from RNAcentral.